RNAcentral lists this ribosomal RNA (919 nucleotides) under uncultured bacterium. RNAcentral's name for it is "bacterial SSU rRNA". It matches the Rfam family "Bacterial small subunit ribosomal RNA", at positions 9 to 873 of the family's 1533-position model. The record is from RNAcentral.
AGAGUUUGAUCCUGGCUCAGAACGAACGCUGGCAGCGUGGAUUAGGCAUGCAAGUCGAACGAGAUCCAGAGGGCUUGAUUAUUUCGGUAAGAUUGACCUCUGGUGAGAGUGGCGAAAGGGCGAGUAAUGCACGGGCAACCUACCGUUUGAGUUCGGGACCACCUUGGCGAAAGGCAGGAUAAUACCGGGAUGUGGUACCGAUGGGCAUCCAUUGGGCACCAAAGGCGGGGCUCCUUCGGGACCCGUCGCUCAUCGAGGGGCCCGUGUGCCAUCAGCUUGUUGGUGUGGUAACGGCUCACCAAGGCAUACGGCUAGCUGGUUUGAGAGAACGACAGCCGCACUGGGACUGAGACACUGCCCAGACUCCUACGGGAGGCUGCAGUCGAGAAUCAUUCGCAAUGGGCGAAAGCCUGACGAUGCGACGCUGCGUGGAGGAUGAAGGCCCUCGGGUCGUAAACUCCUGUCAUGGGGGAAAAAGGCUUCGCCGGUUAAUAGUCGGUGGUGCUUGAUGGUACCCCAAGAGGAAGCCACGGCUAACUCUGUGCCAGCGGCCGCGGUAAUACAGAGGUGGCGAGCGUUGUUCGGAUUUACUGGGCGUAAAGGGCGCGUAGGCGGCCCCGUGUGUCGUAUGUGAAAGCCCCAGGCUCAACCUGGGAAGUGCAUGCGAAACUGCGGGGCUUGAGCAGAGGAGAGGAGAGCGGAAUUCAUGGUGUAGCGGUGAAAUGCGUUGAUAUCAUGAGGAACACCGGUGGCGAAGGCGGCUCUCUGGAAUCUUGCUGACGCUCAGGCGCGAAAGCCGGGGGAGCAAACAGGAUUAGAUACCCUGGUAGUCCCGGCCCUAAACGGUGCAAACGGGGCGUAGGGAGUUUUACCCUCUCUGUGCCGGAGCUAACGCGUUAAGUUUCCGCCGGGGAGUGCG